AGCGUUUGAAGUUUGCAAAUGAACAUAUAGACAAGCCUGAUGCAUUGUGGAAACAAGUUCUGUGGACCGAUGAGCAAAGGUACGUUUGGAGAAGAAAGGGCACAGAAUUUAAUGAAAAGGACCUCUGUCCAACUGUUAAGCAUGGGGGUGGAUCAAUCAUGCUUUGGGGUUGUAUUGCAGCCAGUGGCACAGGGAACAUUUCACGAGUAGAAGGAAAAAUGGAUUCAAUAAAAUUUCAGCAAAUUUUGGACGCUAACUUGAUGCCAUCUGUGAAAAAGCUGAAGUUAAAGAGAGGAUGGCUUCUACAAAUGGAUAAUGAUCCUAAACACACCUCAAAAUCCACGGUGGAUUACAUCAAGAGGCGUAAACUGAAGGUUUUGCCAUGGCCUUCACAAUCUCCUGACCUCAACAUAAUUGAAAAUCUAUGGAUAGACCUUAAAAGAGCAGUGCGUGACAGACAGCCCAGAAAUCUCAAAGAACUGGAAGACUUUUGUAAGGAAGAAUGGGCGAAGAUACCUCAAACAAGAAUUGAAAGACUCUUGGCUGGCUACAAAAAGUGUUUACAAGCUGUGAUACUUGCCAAAGGGGGCGGUGCAUGCUAUAAACUCUGCAGGGUGCCCAAACUUUUGCAGACGCCAUUUUUUUGUUUUCUGUUAUUUUGAAAGUGUAAAUGAUGGAAAUAAAAUCUAACUUUUUUUGACAUAU
Long non-coding RNA from Sander lucioperca (pikeperch), 705 nucleotides. RefSeq lists it as uncharacterized. NCBI's taxonomy places the organism in Eukaryota, Metazoa, Chordata, Actinopteri, Perciformes, Percidae. The transcript has 2 exons. The record is from RefSeq and is a predicted model, not a curated record.